Molecule: ribosomal RNA, 433 nt
Filed under: uncultured bacterium
Lineage: Bacteria
Description: partial 16S ribosomal RNA
Rfam family: Bacterial small subunit ribosomal RNA
Source: RNAcentral
AACGAACGCUGGCGGCAUGCCUAACACAUGCAAGUCGAACGAGACCUUCGAGUCUAGUUGCGCACGGGUGCGUAACGCGUGGGAACCUGCCCUUAGGUUCGGAAUAACUCCCCGAAAGGGGUGCUAAUACCGGAUAAUGUCUUCGGACCAAAGAUUUAUCGCCUUUGGAUGGGCCCGCGUUGGAUUAGCUAGUUGGUAGGGUAAGAGCCUACCAAGGCGACGAUCCAUAGCUGGUCUGAGAGGAUGGUCAGCCACACUGGGACUUAGACACGGCCCGGACUCUUGCGGGAGGCAGCAGUGGGGAAUAUUGGACUAUGGGCGAAAGCCUGAUCCAGCAAUGCCGCGUGAGUGAUUAAGGCCUUAAGGUUGUAAAGCUCUUUUACCCGGGAUGAUAAUGACAGUACCGGGAGAAUAAGCUCCGGCUAACUCCGUG